AAAAUACAAAGCCGAAAAGGGGCGUAUGCCCCUUCCUAUAUUAAUGAUAUAGCUGAUGAGGCUAAGGAGGAU
This 72-nucleotide non-coding RNA is filed under the name uncultured organism. The record is from RNAcentral.